CAGAAAUAGAAGACAAGAAAGUGACAAACACACAAGCAGAAUCACAAAAUGCAUCCCCUAAGCAAAGGAAGCAGAGCGUGUACACACCGCCCGUCAUGAAAGGUGGUGGGGGAAGUAAUUGAAGAAUUUUGAAUACAGAAGUUUCAUAAUCAAAUGGGGGUUAAGCAUCUGAAAGGCCAGAAUGAAUCAGUAUUCCCUGAAGAAGAAGAAGGCGUAAACGAAAGAGAAGAGCAGUAGGACCAUUAAUUACGGGUCUGCAGCAAGAAGGCUUCUUGGGACUAACUGAACUAUUAACUUUUCUGGAUAUCCCACGGAAUGCCACUGCUCGACUUCCAGAAGUGUGCUCCAUCUCUGCUCUCCACACUCGUCCAGUAGUAAUAAUACACCUCCUGGGAAGGCUUCUUGAUUGAACUUUAGAACUAAGUACAGAUUGUCCCAUAUCACUUACAAAUAAAGAACAAGCAUUUAUUUUACAGUGAUUUUUCUUUUUAAUGACAUAGAAAUUUGCAAACAUGUGAGUGUUCUAACUUUAACACUGCCAAGCUUAAUCGCUGAUGUUCUGUUGAUACAGUUUGCCUUCUAAGGUCAAAUGUAAAUAGCAUCAAUUUAAGAGUAAAAAAUAAAUAUUAAACACAUCUAGACAUGAAUGUGUGUCUGGGUUUAACUUAAGGAGGAAUAUUUAGUGAAACUUUUAAGAUCUGUAUUUAUCAUGUUUCUGUAUACAGAAUUGUACACAGUAUUUAUUUCAAAAUGAUGAAGAGAUGCUAGAUUUCUUGAUUCAAAAGACCAUAAUAUGUUAGUCUUGAGAUAUUUAACAUCUUUUUUCCUUCAACAAUACGUUAAUGGUUAAAGAACCACAGAAUUCUCUUCAUUUCCUAAAUUGUAAGAGAGUGAUUUCCCAGCAUUUCUACUAGUUAUUAAGAAAGAAAAAUGCUAAAUCUAAAAUAAAAAAUGCAAAAUUUCA
Hipposideros armiger (great roundleaf bat) is the source of this 964-nucleotide long non-coding RNA. RefSeq lists it as uncharacterized. Lineage: Eukaryota; Metazoa; Chordata; Mammalia; Chiroptera; Hipposideridae. The record is from RefSeq and is a predicted model, not a curated record. The transcript has 4 exons.